AACGUAGGUGGCGAGCGUUGUCCGGAUUUAUUGGGCGUAAAGAGCGUGUAGGCGGCCGAGCAGGUCCGUUGUGAAAACUGAAGGCUCAACCUUCAGAGGUCGAUGGAAACCGUUCGGCUAGAGUCCGGAAGAGGAGAGUGGAAUUCCUGGUGUAGCGGUGAAAUGCGCAGAUAUCAGGAAGAACACACGUGGCGAAAGCGGCUCUCUGGGACGGUACUGACGCUGAGACGCGAAAGCGUGGGGAGCGAACAGG
RNAcentral lists this ribosomal RNA (253 nucleotides) under uncultured bacterium. RNAcentral's name for it is "partial 16S ribosomal RNA". It matches the Rfam family "Bacterial small subunit ribosomal RNA", at positions 524 to 776 of the family's 1533-position model. The record is from RNAcentral.